Molecule: ribosomal RNA, 460 nt
Filed under: uncultured bacterium
Lineage: Bacteria
Description: partial 16S ribosomal RNA
Rfam family: Bacterial small subunit ribosomal RNA
Source: RNAcentral
CCUACGGGAGGCAGCAGUGAGGAAUAUUGGUCAAUGGGCGCGAGCCUGAACCAGCCAAGUAGCGUGAAGGAUGACUGCCCUACGGGUUGUAAACUUCUUUUAUAAAGGAGUAAAGUGAGGCACGUGUACCGUUAUGGAGGUAAUUUAUGAAUAAGGAUCGGCGAACGACGUGCCAACAGCCGCGGUAAUACGGAGGAUCGGGUGGUUAUCCGGAUUUAUUGGGGUUAAAGGGGGCGUAGAUGGGUUGGUAAGGCAGUUGUGAAAGUUUGCGGGUCAACCGUAAAAUUGCAAUUGAUACUGGCAGUCUUGAGUACAGUUGAGGUAGGCGGAAUUCGUGGUGUAGCGGUGAAAUGCUUAGAUAUCACGAAGAACUCCGAUUGCGAAGGCAGCUUACUAACCUGCCACUGACAUUGAUGCUCGAAAGUGUGGGUAUCAAACAGGAUUAGAUACCCGAGUAGUC